UACGAAGGGUGCAAGCGUUACUCGGAAUUACUGGGCGUAAAGCGUGCGUAGGCGGCUUGUCGCGUCGUCCGUGAAAACCCGGGGCUCAACUCCGGGCUUGCGGGCGAUACGGGCAGGCUAGAGUUCGGUAGGGGAGACUGGAAUUCCUGGUGUAGCGGUGAAAUGCGUUGAGAUCGGGCAGAACACCAGUGGCGAAGGCGGCCGGCUGGGCCGACCCUGACGCUGAGGCGCGAAAGCCAGGGGAGCGAACGGA
Molecule: ribosomal RNA, 253 nt
Filed under: uncultured bacterium
Lineage: Bacteria
Description: partial 16S ribosomal RNA
Rfam family: Bacterial small subunit ribosomal RNA
Source: RNAcentral